CCAGAUCAGAGUACACCUGCUCUUAGCCACUGCUCUUAGCCACUACGCCACUGCUGCUCUUAGCCACUACACCACAUUUGUCUAACUACCCUUUAUUGUAUGCCAAGCUGAGAGCUCCAGCCAUGAGUUUAUUUGUUCUCUCUUAUAUCCUGUCCUUUCCCAGAGAAUAGCGCAGCAGUUUUAGUCUGUAAGCCAGCUUCUUGAAAAAUAACGAUAGGACUAAAAUUUCCCAGUUAGCUUCCUUGUGCUGAGAAAACUGAAUACUUUUAUAGGAGUGUGAGAAUUAGCAUGUUGCUAUGUGCUGAAUCCAUUUUAACUUGUCCAAGCUCCCGUGUGUUUUCCAUAUUCCUGGACAGAGCAAAAUAAGAAUAUGGCAGUUGAAGCAGACCUAGUCCCACAUUCUGUCACUGAGAGGCUUUACAAGCAGGUCAUAGAGCUAUUUCCCCAC
This is a long non-coding RNA of Sphaerodactylus townsendi, 448 nucleotides long. RefSeq lists it as uncharacterized. NCBI's taxonomy places the organism in Eukaryota, Metazoa, Chordata, Lepidosauria, Squamata, Sphaerodactylidae. The transcript has 3 exons. The record is from RefSeq and is a predicted model, not a curated record.